AUAGUUUAGGCUGGCAGAACGUGUUGAUAGACAAGGCAUCGGUUCGAUUCCGGUUGACUG
This 60-nucleotide transfer RNA is filed under the name Caudoviricetes sp. Its description in RNAcentral is "tRNA-OTHER". The record is from RNAcentral. Lineage: Duplodnaviria; Heunggongvirae; Uroviricota; Caudoviricetes.